CGCCUUGUGUGAUUUCUCACUGCCGCGCUAACCCUAGAUAGGUUGCUAGCCGCUGUUAUUUUACCUGCUUCGCAGCCCUCCUUACAUCAUCAGGGGAAUACCUACUGAUGUUAGUCACAGAGACAAUUCAUCCUAUGAUCGAUGUUGGAGUUUAGGGACGCUUUGCCCUAACUGCCGCCGCCGCCGCCGUGUUGUGCCUUCCAAAAAACAUAACUUGAGAUACCUUCGGUAAAACAGGCAUAACUUUUCGCUCGUUUAUCAGAAAAAUCUGAAGUUUUUAUAGCAGUUUCUUGACACCAUUCGGACCUGACGCAAACUUGGCAAAGCCCUGUUUGGUCUCAUCAAAAUUGCCAAAAGAAUUCAGGAAAAUUAAGAAAAAAAUUGACAAGGGUUCUGCACGCUUUUCAUAGAACUUGCUGAAUUUCUAUAGACCACAUCUGACCUCAGUUGUAGUUGCCUAUUUUUGUGGUUAUAUCUUCUGUGAUCCUUGUUCAGAGAAAAAUAUAAAAAAAUAGUGAAAAAAUAAAAAUUGUGAUUCCUACUAGUGCCCUUUGGGAAAAUCAAGAAAAAAUUAGGAUAAAAGAAAAAUAUGCUCUAUUGCUUGUUCGCUGAGUUCCUUCCAUCAUACUUUGUUUCAGCUUGUUGCGCUACGUCUAGACACGUCUUAGCCAGCAAUUGUGAUUUGUUCUUUGGAUACUUAUUGAACUUAGCUAAUUCUAUAUUCGAAUAUUACUAAUCCUUGCUACUUACAUUAUGCCAGUCCAAAGCUCCACAUAUACUUCUGUCAGCAC
Molecule: long non-coding RNA, 791 nt
Filed under: Sorghum bicolor (sorghum)
Lineage: Eukaryota; Viridiplantae; Streptophyta; Magnoliopsida; Poales; Poaceae
Description: long non-coding RNA (SBIC_LNC017742)
Source: RNAcentral